UAGGGAAUCUUCGGCAAUGGGGGCAACCCUGACCGAGCAACGCCGCGUGAGUGAAGAAGGUUUUCGGAUCGUAAAGCUCUGUUGUAAGAGAAGAACGUGUGUGAGAGUGGAAAGUUCACACAGUGACGGUAACUUACCAGAAAGGGACGGCUAACUACGUGCCAGCAGCCGCGGUAAUACGUAGGUCCCGAGCGUUGUCCGGAUUUAAUUGGCGUAAAGCGAGCGCAGGCGGUUUAAUAAGUCUGAAGUUAAAGGCAGUGGCUUAACCAUUGUUCGCUUUGGAAACUGUUAAACUUGAGUGCAGAAGGGGAGAGUGGAAUUCCAUGUGUAGCGGUGAAAUGCGUAGAUAUAUGGAGGAACACCGGUGGCGAAAGCGGCUCUCUGGUCUGUAACUGACGCUGAGGCUCGAAAGCGUGGGGAGCAAACAGG
RNAcentral lists this ribosomal RNA (429 nucleotides) under bacterium. Its description in RNAcentral is "partial 16S ribosomal RNA". It matches the Rfam family "Bacterial small subunit ribosomal RNA", at positions 355 to 776 of the family's 1533-position model. The record is from RNAcentral.